AGUCGUAACAAGGUAUCCGUAGGUGAACCUGCGGAUGGAUCAUUAACAAAGAUCUUACUUUACGUUCUGUGAACUGUUUUGAAUUGACAGUCAGCGGGGAGGGGCUUGGGGUGCCGCGCGCUACUGCUACUGUUGCUACCAUUACUGCUACUGUUGCUGCUACUAUUACUGUAGUGGCUGGGUGGUGGAUAAGGGUAGUUAGUAGGGGGUGGGUGUGUGGUUACCGCGUGUUCGCUCGCUGGCUGUACCCAACUUAACGUACUAUAACUUUUGACUAAAGUAGCAGCAGCAGUUGCUUGAACAAUAAUAACAAACAACUUUUAGCAAUGGAUCUCUUGGCUCUC
Molecule: unclassified non-coding RNA, 344 nt
Filed under: fungal sp.
Lineage: Eukaryota; Fungi
Description: partial internal transcribed spacer region
Rfam family: Eukaryotic small subunit ribosomal RNA (bases 1-45)
Source: RNAcentral